UUGCCUACGGGGGGCAGCAGUGGGGAAUCUUCCGCAAUGGGCGAAAGCCUGACGGAGCAAUGCCGCGUGAGUGAAGAAGGCCUUCGGUUUGUAAAACUCUGUCCUUCUCGAAGCUCGGUUGGUCUGUGAAUAAUGUACUCAUAGGACGGUAGAUAAGGAGGAAGCCCCGGCUCACUACGUGCCAGCAGCCGCGGUAAUACGUCGGGGGCGAGCGUUGUCCGGAAUCACUGGGCGUAC
This 237-nucleotide ribosomal RNA is filed under the name uncultured bacterium. Its description in RNAcentral is "partial 16S ribosomal RNA". It matches the Rfam family "Bacterial small subunit ribosomal RNA", at positions 335 to 563 of the family's 1533-position model. The record is from RNAcentral.